This 310-nucleotide unclassified non-coding RNA is filed under the name plant metagenome. RNAcentral describes it as "partial contains 5.8S ribosomal RNA, internal transcribed spacer 2, and large subunit ribosomal RNA". The stretch from base 1 to 105 matches the Rfam family "5.8S ribosomal RNA", at positions 50 to 154 of the family's 154-position model. The record is from RNAcentral.
GAAAUGCGAUAAGUAGUGUGAAUUGCAGAAUUCAGUGAAUCAUCGAAUCUUUGAACGCACAUUGCGCCCCUUGGUAUUCCAUGGGGCAUGCCUGUUCGAGCGUUAUUUGUACCCUCAAGCUCUGCUUGGUGUUGGGUGUUUGUCCCCGUCUCCGCGCGUGGACUCGCCCCAAAGUGAUUGGCAGCCGGCGUACUGGUCCCGGAGCGCAGCACAUGUCGCGCAAACGAGUGCCUUGGUACGGCGGCGUCCAUAAGCCCCUCUCUCACGCUCUUGACCUCGGAUCAGGUAGGGAUACCCGCUGAACUUAAGC